UAUUUGGCCAUUAAAACAUGGUUAUUCUGAAAAAAAUUUAUCAGAGCCCAUUUGAGCAUAUAAAUCUAAAUUUCAACAACUGAAAGAAGAAAUGGGUACGACGACGGGACUCGCGCCGGGCCUAUCCCGGAAACUNNNNNNNNNCGUACGGACAAGCCAGAUCUGGUUUCUUCACUCCAUACUCUCUCUACUUUCUACUCGGACAACUCUCCUCAGGCUCGUCGCAAUCUCAGAUCCACCAUCGAGAAACGUUCUCUCUCUAUCAACCUCCAGUUUCUCCAUGCUUCCAACGCUGCUCAGCUCGCUUUAGAUCGUGUGGAGGAGGAAGUUAAUGCUCUAGCUGAAUGCUGCGACGAGAUUGCAAAGGCUUUGAACAGUUGUAGUGCUAGCACAGGAGAUAUUAUCAG
This 407-nucleotide unclassified non-coding RNA is filed under the name Hevea brasiliensis (rubber tree). The record is from RNAcentral. Lineage: Eukaryota; Viridiplantae; Streptophyta; Magnoliopsida; Malpighiales; Euphorbiaceae.